ACGCACGCUGGCGGCAUGCCUCACCCCUGCAAGUCGCACGAGACCUUCGGGUCUAGUGGCGCACGGGUGCGUAACGCGUGGGAACCUGCCCUUAGGUUCGGAAUAACUCCCCGAAAGGGGUGCUAAUACCGGAUAAUGUCUUCGGACCAAAGAUUUAUCGCCUUUGGAUGGGCCCGCGUUGGAUUAGCUAGUUGGUAGGGUAAAAGCCUACCAAGGCGACGAUCCAUAGCUGGUCUGAGAGGAUGAUCAGCACACUGGGACUGAGACACGGCCCAGACUCCUACGGGAGGCAGCAGUGGGGAAUAUUGGACAAUGGGCGAAAGCCUGAUCCAGCAAUGCCGCGUGAGUGAUGAAGGCCUUAGGGUUGUAAAGCUCUUUUACCCGGGAUGAUAAUGACAGUACCGGGAGAAUAAGCUCCGGCUAACUCCGUG
This 431-nucleotide ribosomal RNA is filed under the name uncultured bacterium. RNAcentral describes it as "partial 16S ribosomal RNA". It matches the Rfam family "Bacterial small subunit ribosomal RNA", at positions 29 to 507 of the family's 1533-position model. The record is from RNAcentral.